This 115-nucleotide small nuclear RNA is filed under the name Choloepus hoffmanni (Hoffmann's two-fingered sloth). Its description in RNAcentral is "U5 spliceosomal RNA (ENSCHOG00000014821.1)". It matches the Rfam family "U5 spliceosomal RNA". Rfam says of the family: U5 RNA is a component of both types of known spliceosome. The precise function of this molecule is unknown, though it is known that the 5' loop is required for splice site selection and p220 binding, and that both the 3' stem-loop and the Sm site are important for Sm protein binding and cap methylation. The record is from RNAcentral. Lineage: Eukaryota; Metazoa; Chordata; Mammalia; Pilosa; Megalonychidae.
AUACUCUGGUUUUUCUUCAGAUAGCAUAAAUCUUUCACCUUUUAAUAAAGAUUUCCAUGGAGAGAAACAAUUCGAGUUCAUGCCCAUUUUUGUGAGGCCUUGGUUUCACAGGGCU